CUGUAUGAGAUGUGGUAUGUUUAGGAUAUUUGGCUCAUGUCAAGUGUUUACAUGUAGACCAAGUUAGAGGUUAGGUCUAUAAGACUCAUUUUAAGAUAUCCUAAAGGGUUUUGAAAAUACUAUUUUUCUUCCUAAGGAUCACAAUGUGAUUGUGACCCAACAUGCUAUGUUCUUGGAGAAACAGUUUGUCCAAGAGAAAAAUAGUAGAAGAAAAAUUAAAUUCAAAAGAGAGAGUCUCUUAAGAGCAAUGAGUCAUUGAACCUAUUGAUGUUGAACCCGUACA
Molecule: long non-coding RNA, 283 nt
Filed under: Elaeis guineensis (African oil palm)
Lineage: Eukaryota; Viridiplantae; Streptophyta; Magnoliopsida; Arecales; Arecaceae
Description: long non-coding RNA (EGUI_LNC036048)
Source: RNAcentral